AUUGAACGCUGGCGGCGUGCCUAACACAUGCAAGUCGAGCGGUAACAGGUGUAGCAAUACAUGCUGACGAGCGGCGAACGGGUGAGUAAUGCUUCGGAAUCUACCUUAUGGUGGGGAAUAACUAGCCGAAAGGUUAGCUAAUACCGCAUACGUCCUACGGGAGAAAGCAGGGGAUCGCAAGACCUUGCGCCAAAAGAUGAGCCGAAGUCGGAUUAGCUAGUUGGUAGGGUAACGGCCUACCAAGGCGACGAUCCGUAGCUGGUCUGAGAGGACGACCAGCCACACUGGGACUGAGACACGGCCCAGACUCCUACGGGAGGCAGCAGUGGGGAAUAUUGGACAAUGGGGGAAACCCUGAUCCAGCGACGCCGCGUGUGUGAAGAAGGCCUGCGGGUUGUAAAGCACUUUUAGUGGGGAUGAAAUGUGCAGGGCUAACACCUCUGCAUUUGACCUAACC
This 457-nucleotide ribosomal RNA is filed under the name uncultured bacterium. Its description in RNAcentral is "bacterial SSU rRNA". It matches the Rfam family "Bacterial small subunit ribosomal RNA", at positions 30 to 479 of the family's 1533-position model. The record is from RNAcentral.